This is a long non-coding RNA of Gracilinanus agilis (Agile Gracile Mouse Opossum), 792 nucleotides long. RefSeq lists it as uncharacterized. The transcript has 4 exons. The record is from RefSeq and is a predicted model, not a curated record. NCBI's taxonomy places the organism in Eukaryota, Metazoa, Chordata, Mammalia, Didelphimorphia, Didelphidae.
GACUUGAGGACAACAAGAUCCAACUGCUAGAGAGAAUGGAGACAAACCUUGGGAGAUUUGUAUGGAGAAUCAUGUCCUGUGAAGCUUACACUGGAAAUUUAUUAGACAUGAUGAUGUGGUUUCAACCAAACCUAUUUUGAGCCCUCCUGGAAAAUCCUUUGCCUUAAUGCUGGCCCAUCCUCAGCGACAGGACUAUUCAUAAAGCUGGAACCCCCUUGAAAGCAGAGAUCAUGUCUUAAACUUCCAUACCCUACACUGGCCCCUGGAACAGUGGGACAUGCAUGAGUCUUUUCCUUUAGUAACCUGGAGUGAGGUUAGCAUCUCCCAUCUUCCUGCUUGAUGGCAGAAGCCAACAGCACCAGGAGCAAGUGUGGCAUCCAAAGAGAUCCGAAGAGACCCAAGAGUCUGAAGACACUUUCUUCACUCCUGCUCACCACAACUCAGCAACCUCGUGCAAGCACAGGACAUUGAUCUCUGCUAAUAAGGAGAGAGUUCCAUACCAGUGAGCUUUGGGACUGGGAUUACAAAACAUUCAUAGAAGAUCCAAAAGUUAACAAAAGGAAAUUAGUCAUAGUAGGAGAAGGAUACUCAACAAGGAUGUCUAUUGAAGAUAUUGUGCUGAUUCAGUUGAGCACAUCUUUCCUUACCAUGUAUGACCCAUGUGGAUCAGUUGGUCAAGUAUUAGAGAGGAGCUUCAUCUCUUUCUGGCUUUUGGUAUUCUGGAGACUGUGAAGAAAUAUCCUGUGACAGUAUCUUCUGUACAUCUACCCAAACUUCAAGACUAUUAUGAAA